UUUUAACACUAUAUAAUGAUCAUAUAAUUUUCUAUUUCUCCAAGUGAACGAGGAAAAUAUGGCAAAAACACUAAAACUUGUGUAUGUUAUGAUUAUUUUUCAAUUCAUAUUUGUCACUGUAACUGAAGGCGUACGUUUGAUAGUAUGCUCUGAUGAUGAAGAAUGUUAUCAAAAUGUAGAGUGUAACACUCCUGAGCUUCCAAAGUGCAUAUUUGAUUUAUGUCAAUGUGCGUGAGUCAUAAUUAAGUUCAAAAAUAAUUUCAUGGUGUACUUGUAAGUUCAAAAAUAAUUUCUAUGAUUAUUUAAUCUUCCUUUUUUAUACAAUUAUUUCAUACAGUAAAAUUUGUAUCAUUAUUAUUUAUUUAUAAUAAAAUCAUUCAUCUCAAAUUUA
This is a long non-coding RNA of Vicia villosa (hairy vetch), 391 nucleotides long. RefSeq lists it as uncharacterized. The record is from RefSeq and is a predicted model, not a curated record. The transcript is spliced from 2 exons. NCBI's taxonomy places the organism in Eukaryota, Viridiplantae, Streptophyta, Magnoliopsida, Fabales, Fabaceae.